Molecule: ribosomal RNA, 405 nt
Filed under: uncultured bacterium
Lineage: Bacteria
Description: bacterial SSU rRNA
Rfam family: Bacterial small subunit ribosomal RNA
Source: RNAcentral
UAGGGAAUAUUGGACAAUGGGCGAAAGCCUGAUCCAGCAACGCCGCGUGCGCGAUGAAGGCCUUCGGGUUGUAAAGCGCUUUUAGGGGAGAUGAGAAAGGACAGUAUCCUCUGAAUAAGCCUCGGCGAACUACGUGCCAGCAGCCGCGGUAAAACGUAGGAGGCAAGCGUUAUCCGGAUUUAUUGGGCGUAAAGCGCGUGCAGGCGGUUUGAUAAGUUGGAUGUGAAAUCUCCCGGCUCAACUGGGAGCGGUCAUUCAAAACUAUCAGACUAGAGGAUGGGAGAGGGAGGUGGAAUUCCGGGUGUAGUGGUGAAAUACGUAGAUAUCCGGAGGAACACCAGUGGCGAAGGCGGCCUCCUAGACCAUUCCUGACGCUAAGACGCGAAAGCUAGGGGAGCAAACGGG